AGAGCGAACGCUGGCGGCAGGCUUAACACAUGCAAGUCGAGCGGGCCCUUCGGGGUCAGCGGCAGACGGGUGAGUMACACGUGGGAACGUACCCUUUGGUUCGGAAUAACGUUGGGAAACUAGCGCUAAUACCGGAUACGCCCUUUUGGGGAAAGGCUUGCUGCCGAAGGAUCGGCCCGCGUCUGAUUAGCUAGUUGGUGGGGUAAUGGCCUACCAAGGCGACGAUCAGUAGCUGGUCUGAGAGGAUGAUCAGCCACACUGGGACUGAGACACGGCCCAGACUCCUACGGGAGGCAGCAGUGGGGAAUAUUGGACAAUGGGCGCAAGCCUGAUCCAGCCAUGCCGCGUGAGUGAUGAAGGCCUUAGGGUUGUAAAGCUCUUUUGUCCGGGACGAUAAUGACGGUACCGGAAGAAUAAGCCCCGGCUAACUUCGUGCCAGCAGCCGCGGUAAUACGAAGGGGGCUAGCGUUGCUCGGAAUCACUGGGCGUAAAGGGCGCGUAGGCGGCCAUUCAAGUCGGGGGUGAAAGCCUGUGGCUCAACCACAGAAUUGCCUUCGAUACUGUUWGGCUUGAGUUUGGUAGAGGUUGGUGGAACUGCGAGUGUAGAGGUGAAAUUCGUAGAUAUUCGCAAGAACACCAGUGGCGAAGGCGGCCAACUGGACCAACACUGACGCUGAGGCGCGAAAGCGUGGGGAGCAAACAGG
RNAcentral lists this ribosomal RNA (704 nucleotides) under uncultured bacterium. RNAcentral describes it as "bacterial SSU rRNA". It matches the Rfam family "Bacterial small subunit ribosomal RNA", at positions 26 to 776 of the family's 1533-position model. The record is from RNAcentral.